CUAGUCUCGCUUGGUCGUUGCCAUUCAACGACCGGCUUUGACAGGCCGACUC
Non-coding RNA from Pseudomonas putida KT2440, 52 nucleotides. Lineage: Bacteria; Pseudomonadati; Pseudomonadota; Gammaproteobacteria; Pseudomonadales; Pseudomonadaceae. The record is from Rfam.